This is a non-coding RNA of Epithele typhae, 90 nucleotides long. Lineage: Eukaryota; Fungi; Basidiomycota; Agaricomycetes; Polyporales; Epitheliaceae. The record is from the annotation of a RefSeq genome assembly.
UCUCUGUUAGUAUAUCGGUUAGUACACGCGCCUGUCACGGUGAUCGCCACCGGUGCGCGCGAAAGCGGGGUUCGACUCCCCGACAGAGAG